Molecule: ribosomal RNA, 467 nt
Filed under: uncultured bacterium
Lineage: Bacteria
Description: partial 16S ribosomal RNA
Rfam family: Bacterial small subunit ribosomal RNA
Source: RNAcentral
GACGAACGCUGGCGGCGUGCUUAACACAUGCAGGUCGAAUGGAAAGGCCUCUUUCGGGGGGUACUCGAGUGGCGAACGGGUGAGUAACACGUGAGUAACCUGCCCUUGACUUUGGGAUAACUUCAGGAAACUGGGGCUAAUACCGGAUAGGAGCUCCUGCUGCAUGGUGGGGGUUGGAAAGUUUCGGCGGUUGGGGAUGGACUCGCGGCUUAUCAGCUUGUUGGUGGGGUAGUGGCUUACCAAGGCUUUGACGGGUAGCCGGCCUGAGAGGGUGACCGGCCACAUUGGGACUGAGAUACGGCCCAGACUCCUACGGGAGGCAGCAGUGGGGAAUAUUGCACAAUGGGUGGAAGCCUGAUGCAGCAACGCCGUGUGCGGGAUGACGGCCUUCGGGUUGUAAACCGCUUUCGCUCAUGACGAAGCUUUGUGUGACGGUAGUGGGUAAAGAAGCACCGGCUAACUACGUG